GAGUAUGUUUGAAAGGAGAGAAGGUUAGCACUCCCCCUGAGAAGGAUGGAAGACGUCCCAGUGGCCUUUACAACAUACAUAUGGUAAAGGCAUUGCCACCUACUUUGUGGUAUCUAACCAAGUUUUUGA
Molecule: small nuclear RNA, 129 nt
Organism: Ornithorhynchus anatinus (platypus)
Lineage: Eukaryota; Metazoa; Chordata; Mammalia; Monotremata; Ornithorhynchidae
Source: RefSeq, a predicted model, not a curated record